GACGAGGGGCCCGAGCGUUAUUCGGAAUCACUGGGCUUAAAGGGUGCGUAGGCGGAUGCGUAAGCGUCUCGUGAAAUCCCUCGGCUCAACCGGGGAAUGGCGGGGCGAACUGCGUGUCUUGAGACAGGUAGGGGCCGUCGGAACGCUCGGUGGAGCGGUGAAAUGCAUAGAUAUCGAGCGGAACGCCGAAGGAGAAGUCGGGCGGCUGGGCCUGUUCUGACGCUGAGGCACGAAAGCGUGGGGAUCGAACAGG
RNAcentral lists this ribosomal RNA (253 nucleotides) under uncultured bacterium. Its description in RNAcentral is "partial 16S ribosomal RNA". It matches the Rfam family "Bacterial small subunit ribosomal RNA", at positions 524 to 776 of the family's 1533-position model. The record is from RNAcentral.